This 220-nucleotide ribosomal RNA is filed under the name uncultured bacterium. Its description in RNAcentral is "partial 16S ribosomal RNA". It matches the Rfam family "Bacterial small subunit ribosomal RNA", at positions 1280 to 1500 of the family's 1533-position model. The record is from RNAcentral.
AAGCAGUCUCAGUUCGGAUUGAAGGCUGAAAUUCGCCUUCAUGAAGCCGGAAUUGCUAGUAAUGGCAGGUCAGCAUACUGCCGUGAAUACGUUCCCGGGCCUUGUACACACCGCCCGUCACACCAUGAGAGUUGGGGAUACCCGAAGCCUGUGAGCUAACUUUUAGAGGCAGCAGUCGAAGGUAGAAUCAAUGAUUGGGGUGAAGUCGUAACAAGGUAUC